AACGAACGCUGGCGGCAUGCCUAACACAUGCAAGUCGAACGAGACCUUCGGGUCUAGUGGCGCACGGGUGCGUAACGCGUGGGAACCUGCCCUUAGGUUCGGAAUAACUCCCCGAAGGGGGUGCUAAUACCGGAUAAUGUCAUCGGACCAAAGAUUUAUCGCCUUUGGAUGGGCCCGCGUUGGAUUAGCUAGUUGGUAGGGUAAAAGCCUACCAAGGCGACGAUCCAUAGCUGGUCUGAGAGGAUGAUCAGCCACACUGGGACUGAGACACGGCCCAGACUCCUACGGGAGGCAGCAGUGGGGAAUAUUGGACAAUGGGCGAAAGCCUGAUCCAGCAAUGCCGCGUGAGUGAUGAAGGCCUUAGGGUUGUAAAGCUCUUUUACCCGGGAUGAUAAUGACAGUACCGGGAGAAUAAGCUCCGGCUAACUCCGUG
Molecule: ribosomal RNA, 433 nt
Filed under: uncultured bacterium
Lineage: Bacteria
Description: partial 16S ribosomal RNA
Rfam family: Bacterial small subunit ribosomal RNA
Source: RNAcentral